GUGAACAGUCAACAGGGAGAAGAGGAUCCUCAGGCCUUGAGCAUCCAGGAGGGUGAAAAUGCCACCAUGAACUGCAGUUACAAAACUAGUAUAAACAAUUUACAGUGGUAUAGACAAAAUUCAGGUAGAGGCCUUGUCCACCUAAUUUUAAUACGUUCAAAUGAAAGAGAGAAACACAGUGGAAGAUUAAGAGUCACGCUUGACACUUCCAAGAAAAGCAGUUCCUUGUUGAUCACGGCUUCCCGGGCAGCAGACACUGCUUCUUACUUCUGUGCUACGGACGCACAGUCAAAUCAACCUUUGGGGAUGGGACUACGCUCACUGUGAAGCCAAUAUCCAGAACCCUGACCCUGCCGUGUACCAGCUGAGAGACUCUAAAUCCAGUGACAAGUCUGUC
This 397-nucleotide long non-coding RNA is filed under the name Homo sapiens (human). Its description in RNAcentral is "non-protein coding lnc-ABHD4-12:12". Lineage: Eukaryota; Metazoa; Chordata; Mammalia; Primates; Hominidae. The record is from RNAcentral.